RNAcentral lists this long non-coding RNA (666 nucleotides) under Homo sapiens (human). Its description in RNAcentral is "HSALNT0289795". Lineage: Eukaryota; Metazoa; Chordata; Mammalia; Primates; Hominidae. The record is from RNAcentral.
UGGGGGGAGGGGCUGAGGGCAGCUUCUUGGCACCCGGGCUGCCCUGCCUCAUGGGUGCCCUUCUCAGGGCCUCUGGCCCCGCCUCCCAAGCCGCCCUCCUUCCUUGCUUCUGUCUCCUGACCUUUCAGUCCAAAGGGGCCCCAGGGGCUGCUGGGAGGAAGGUCAGGCCCUUGUCCUACUCCACACCCUCUGCUCUGCCCCUAACCACCCGGUGGGGGGUUACAAAGGCCCCACCCUGGGUGUUCUUUCUCUUCAAUCUCCAAGGAGGAUGGUGACAGCAGGAGGCUUGGGUCCUAGCCUGGCACCUGCCAGACAAGAGAAACUGGGAAAGGAGGCUAAAGGCCAAGGAGGCUGCAGACCCCGAGACCUACCCCGGUCACUGGACACUCACAGAUUUGCAGAUUGAUCGCAGAGUUGAACAACAGAGAAUGUGUGCACAGUGCCAGGCACAGGUGUGGUCAAGAUUCACCUGGGAGAGGAAGUGGGCAGGGGCAGAGGAGUGUGCCCACCUGAGCUGAAAGGCUGCAUGGCAGGUGACCAUUAUCACCAGUGUCGCCAGCCAGGUCACCUCUCUGAAUUUUGUGGUUGCAACCUCCAUGAUUCCCUAGAGCUGUUUUUACCCAGAACUAAUGAAAAAUUCUGCACAUUAAAUUCAUGCUAUUAGAA